RNAcentral lists this long non-coding RNA (2736 nucleotides) under Salvia miltiorrhiza (redroot sage). Its description in RNAcentral is "long non-coding RNA (SMIL_LNC006097)". The record is from RNAcentral. Lineage: Eukaryota; Viridiplantae; Streptophyta; Magnoliopsida; Lamiales; Lamiaceae.
CAACGAAUGCCCGUAAUCUGUCACCAACGGAGAAUGCGAUCUUCAACUGUGUCACAAAUGGAGGCCUCGAUUUCUCCGAGGACUUGAAGAUGAAAUAUCUGGAAAAGAAUUUGUUAGUAUUAGUGAUUGUUGUGUAGCUGAAAAGAAUGUUAACCAUUUAACAGUAGUAUUUGAUUUAUUUUCUGGAAUCUUAUGUCAACCUAUAUAGAAUAAAAUGUAUAAGAUUGAAUAUGAAAUUGCUGGUUUCUCAACUAGCUACCUGUUUAUCAAAUCCAAGCUACAAACAAGCAAGAUUCUACUGCUAUUUCCCAUUACUUAAAGCAGCAACUCCCAAUAUUCAAACACAAGAAAAUUUCCCAACUCCAUGCAAAUAAAUGUUCAUUUAUGAGGAAAUGGAACAAGUUGCAAACUGGUAUCCACAUACUCUUCAAUCAACAACACAAUAAACAUACCAACAGCAAAUCAAACAAGGAAUAUGGAAUUUUGUUGGUGAAACUCAAUCUUACUGUGAAUUAUGAAGAAAGGUUGAGUAAAUUAAUACACACUCAUUCCUUCUUCACCUCCUCACUCUUUAGAAGCACCUCAAACACAAAUCUUUUCUCCUCCUACUUUCUUGAGAAUCAUAAUCAGCUGUAUAAAACACGAAAAAGAUUAAAUCAAAUUCACUGGAAAAAUUGUGCUAGUCAAACUCCACAUAUACAUGUAUAAUCUCAUUGACAGUUAAAAAGGAUUGUUUGUGCAUUUUGAGAUGAACUGUGUAAAAUAAGUUGAUAUACUAAAAAAAACUAGGCACUAGUAGCAACAGAGUGGAAACAAUACGACUUAAUAUUUUGUUUGAGACGGGGAAGGAGUAACAUACUCAAUCUAGAAACUCGAUUCAUUAGAAAAGAUAAUAGAUUUUACUAUGAUCAACUUCUGACUGUUAUAUAUAUGUAACUGUUUCUAUGAAAUAAACAAGAGAAAUUGAUAGUUACCAGCUUUGGGCUUGGAGGCAUCAAUGGUGAUGGAGAGGAUAUGGCCGUGGGAGAUAUUGGGCCAUUCAGAAUCACUAUCACUGUCUCGUUGAGUCACUAUUCCUGGGCAACCCUCAAGAGUUAACCGUUGUGAUCUAUAACUCUUGAGAGCUAAAAACACGCACACAUUCCACGUCUGGGGAUAUGCUACUAGAAAUUUCACCCUCUGAACAACAAUGUACGCAAAUAUUUUGCCACUACUUUUUGGAUAGGAAUUCAUUCCUCCCUCAAACUAUUGUGUCACACAAGCUGCUGAGAGAGAUGAUUACGGAAAUGUUAUAGUGUUAGAAGAACCUAACUCAGAAGAGACGAGAUCGCCCAUCACACAACUCAUAACAUUUCCAUAAUCAUUCCUCUCUGCAACUUGCAAUAAAGAACAACUCAUAACAUUUCCAUAAUCAUCUCUCUCUGAAACUUGUAAUAAAGUGUUGUGUACAAGGAUGUUGAUAAAUUUUUCGCCCAAAAACUCCAUCUCAUUGCAUCCAAUCACCUUCGAAGAAAACCUUCUACCAUCCAAUGCUCAUCUCAUUGCAUCCAUCACCUUUGAAGAAAACCUUCUGCCAUCCAAUGCUCAAUCAGUUCAAUUUGCCCAUCUUUAGGAAAAUUGAACACAAAGCACUUCUUAAGUGAUGGUGGAUACAAACUAGGUCAAUAUUUUUGUGAUAUUAUCUCCUUCAACGCGCCAUCGAUUGCAAGCCAUUUUCUUAUCAGACUUAUUCCGCAGAACUCCUCCGACUACCUUGGCAGUUGAUGGCAAACCUUGACAUCUUUUUGCAAUCUUUGUCCCUUCGAUACGAGAGAACAUCGUCUUUUCCAAAGGUUUUUGCUUUGAUUAUUGACCAGCAAUCUUCCUCUGAUAACCCUAGUGGUAACAACAAUGCAUUUCCCUUAGUAGAAGUAACCCCGGUCAAGAGUCAAUAAAAUCUUUCCAUCUUGGAAGAUCUCGAAUCCAUACAUCAUCAAGAACAAGUAGAUCUUGUCUAUUCUGAACUGGAUCAGAAGUCAACUCUCCGAGGAUUUUCUUGAAAAGAAUGAUUGGAUCAAAAGUUUGAGUAACAUGCACCCAAAUAUGAGAUCCAAAUUUGUCUUACCCAUUCCACCCAUUCCCACAACAGCAAGAAUCGAGCAUCUCAACAAUUUCAUUUCGGACACGACAUCAUCUCUUCCAAUAAAAAUUGGAUCAAGAGUGAAGGAGGAAUCGGUUUCAGAAGUAGCAUCAAGCAAAGUGGGCACAAGGGCAAGCCUCCCAACGAGGCCAAGCUCGGUUGCCUCUUUGUUAAUGGACUCCAAAAUCCCAUUGAUUUUUCUUAUUCUAAGACCAAUUUUUCGGAGACGAGCAAUAUGAUUGAAGGUUGAGAAGCAACAUAGUACCUUUUUCUUGAUGGGCUUAAUUUUGUUGGAGAGAAGAUGAUAGUUGACUUCAUCCAAAACACUGUGAGCAUCGAACCCCACGUUUUCAAGCUUCUUCAGCCAGCUUUUGAUUGCCUCACCGUCACCGGAAAUUGUACGCAUCUCUACGUCGACGCCUCGGAUUAACGAGAUCUCAUCCUUGGACAGCUCGAUGAGGUUUUGAGCUUGAACGAUGGCGGCGGCAGCUUAUCUUUCACAGAAGAUAUAGUAGGAGUACCUUUUUUUAUACAAUAAAUUAAUUGUCGUUUUGUUACAUUUUCCAAUUCUUUGCCGACAACUUUUUAUUUUUUAUUUAAACCUCAUUUGACAAGCA